AGUGAACGCUGGCGGUAGGCCUAACACAUGCAAGUCGAACGGCAGCACAGUAAGAGCUUGCUCUUACGGGUGGCGAGUGGCGGACGGGUGAGGAAUACAUCGGAAUCUACUUUUUCGUGGGGGAUAACGUAGGGAAACUUACGCUAAUACCGCAUACGACCUACGGGUGAAAGCAGGGGAUCUUCGGACCUUGCGCGAUUGAAUGAGCCGAUGUCGGAUUAGCUAGUUGGCGGGGUAAAGGCCCACCAAGGCGACGAUCCGUAGCUGGUCUGAGAGGAUGAUCAGCCACACUGGAACUGAGACACGGUCCAGACUCCUACGGGAGGCAGCAGUGGGGAAUAUUGGACAAUGGGCGCAAGCCUGAUCCAGCCAUACCGCGUGGGUGAAGAAGGCCUUCGGGUUGUAAAGCCCUUUUGUUGGGAAAGAAAAGCAGCAGGUUAAUACCCCGCUGUUCUGACGGUACCAAAAGAAUAAGCACCGGCGAACUUCGU
This 491-nucleotide ribosomal RNA is filed under the name uncultured bacterium. RNAcentral's name for it is "partial 16S ribosomal RNA". It matches the Rfam family "Bacterial small subunit ribosomal RNA", at positions 29 to 506 of the family's 1533-position model. The record is from RNAcentral.